Molecule: ribosomal RNA, 1446 nt
Filed under: Triticum aestivum (bread wheat)
Lineage: Eukaryota; Viridiplantae; Streptophyta; Magnoliopsida; Poales; Poaceae
Description: partial small subunit ribosomal RNA
Source: RNAcentral
AUGAGUCCUAUAUCACAUCGUGUACUUAGUGCUCAGAUUGUCAAAGCAAAGAAGGAUCAACAUCACAACCUCUUCCACAUCAAAGGAGUCGUCAAGGAGCGUUCCAUUCGCAUAAUCAUUGAUGGAGGGAGUUGUAACAAUUUAGCAAGCAUUGACAUGGUGGAGAAGCUCUCCCUACCUUCGCGACAACAUCCACAACCUUACUACAUUCAAUGGUUUAAUGAUGGUGGAAAGGUAAAGGUAACACGCAUGGUGAGAGUUCCUUUUUCUUUAGGUUCAUACCAUGAUACUAUUGAUUGCGAUAUUGUGCCUAUGCAAGCUUGUUCUAUGUUACUAGGAAGGCCAUGGCAGUAUGAUAAACAAUGUUCACAUGAUAGUAGAACUAAUCAGUACACUCUCACACAUAAAGGAAAGAAAAUCAUUCUACACCCUAUGUCUCCUGAGCAAAUUUUAAAAGAUGAUCUUGCUAGGGCUAGUAGAAACACAAAUACUGCGCGUACUAAAUCUGAAAAUCAGAAAGUUGUUGAUGAGUUAGAACAAUUUAAUAAGAUGCACAAAUCUGAUCCUAGCACAUCUAAAGAAAUUAAAUUGAAAGGUGCUUCUUUCUUAGCUACACGUGCUGAAAUUUUUGAGUUAGAUGCUCAUACUGAUGAAUGUUAUGCUCUUAUUUGCAAAGAAGUUUUGUUUUCAUUUGAGGAUAUGCCUUCUUCUUUGCCUCCUGUUGUCGCUAACCUUUUGCAGGAGUAUCAUGAUGUUUUCCCAAAGGAAGUACCACCGGGGCUGGCACCUAUGAGAGGAAUUGAACAUCAAAUUGACUUGAUACCUGGCGCCUCAUUACCCAACCGUGCGCUGUACCAGACUAAUCCUGAGGAGACUAAGGAGAUUCAGCGACAAGUUCAAGAACUACUCGAAAAAGGUUACAUUCGGGAAUCCCUUAGUCCAUGUGCUGUACCAAUUUUACUUGUUCCUAAAAAAGACGGUACUUCACGUAUGUGUGUUGAUUGUAGAGCCAUAAAUAAUAUAACAAUUCGAUAUUGUCAUCCUAUUCCUAGAUUAGAUGACAUGCUUGAUGAACUCAGUGGCUCAGUUGUGUUUUCUAAAGUGGACUUGCGUAGUGGCUACCAUCAAAUUCGUAUGAAACUAGGUGAUGAAUGGAAAAAUGCUUUCAAAACUAAAUUUGGUUUAUAUGAGUGGUUAGUUAUGCCUUUUGGAUUGACUAAUGCACCUAGUACUUUCAUGAGACUAAUGAAUGAAGUCUUGCGAGCUUUCAUUGGACGAUUUGUGGUAGUAUACUUCGAUGAUAUUCUGAUUUAUAGUAAGUCACUAGAGGAACACUUGGACCAUUUGCAUGCUGUUUUUUUGCUCUACGUGAUGCACGUUUAUUUGGUAACAUCGAGAAGUGCACUUUUUGCACGGAUCGAGUCGCUUUUCUUGGCUAUGUUGUGA